AGGAUGAACGCUGGCGGCGUGCCUAACACAUGCAAGUCGAACGUCCUGUCUCGCAAGAGGCAGGGAGUGGCGGACGGGUGAGUACCACGUGGGUCAUCUACCGUGAGGUGAGGAAUACCGGCGAGAAAUCGCCGACAAGACCGCAUAGGCUCGAUGCAAGUCGAGCAAAGCUCUUUCGAGAGAGGGAGCGCCACACGAGGAGCCUGCGCCCGAUUAGCUAGCUGGUGGAGUAACGGUUCACCAGGGCGACGAUCGGUAGCUGGUCUGAGAGGACGAUCAGCCACACUGGGAUUGAGAACGGCCCAGACUCCUACGGGGGCAGCAGUGAGGAAUUUCGUCAAUGGGGGCAACCCUGAACGAGCAACGCGCGUGCAGGAGAAGGUUUCGAUCGUAAACUGCUUUUCUCGGGAAGAGAACGGACGGUACCCGAGGAAUCAGCCCCGGCUAACUACGUGCCAGCAGCCGC
Molecule: ribosomal RNA, 466 nt
Filed under: uncultured bacterium
Lineage: Bacteria
Description: SSU rRNA
Rfam family: Bacterial small subunit ribosomal RNA
Source: RNAcentral